GUUAAGCGACUAAGCGUACACGGUGGAUGCCCUGGCAGUCAGAGGCGAUGAAGGACGUGCUAAUCUGCGAUAAGCGUCGGUAAGGUGAUAUGAACCGUUAUAACCGGCGAUUUCCGAAUGGGGAAACCCAGUGUGAUUCGUCACACUAUCAUUAACUGAAUCCAUAGGUUAAUGAGGCGAACCGGGGGAACUGAAACAUCUAAGUACCCCGAGGAAAAGAAAUCAACCGAGAUUCCCCCAGUAGCGGCGAGCGAACGGGGAGCAGCCCAGAGCCUGAAUCAGUGUGUGUGUUAGUGGAAGCGUCUGGAAAGGCGUGCGAUACAGGGUGACAGCCCCGUACACAAAAAUGCACAUACUGUGAGCUCGAUGAGUAGGGCGGGACACGUGGUAUCCUGUCUGAAUAUGGGGGGACCAUCCUCCAAGGCUAAAUACUCCUGACUGACCGAUAGUGAACCAGUACCGUGAGGGAAAGGCGAAAAGAACCCCGGCGAGGGGAGUGAAAAAGAACCUGAAACCGUGUACGUACAAGCAGUGGGAGCACGCUUAGGCGUGUGACUGCGUACCUUUUGUAUAAUGGG
This 578-nucleotide ribosomal RNA is filed under the name Escherichia coli. RNAcentral describes it as "partial 23S ribosomal RNA". It matches the Rfam family "Bacterial large subunit ribosomal RNA", at positions 1 to 619 of the family's 2925-position model. RNAcentral also lists the same sequence under 1 other name. The record is from RNAcentral. Lineage: Bacteria; Pseudomonadati; Pseudomonadota; Gammaproteobacteria; Enterobacterales; Enterobacteriaceae.